RNA transcript from Canis lupus familiaris (dog), 1062 nucleotides. It is a transcript of the gene named NHP2-like protein 1, with no coding region annotated. Lineage: Eukaryota; Metazoa; Chordata; Mammalia; Carnivora; Canidae. The record is from RefSeq and is a predicted model, not a curated record. The transcript has 2 exons.
UUUUUUUUUAACCUGCUUGCUCGUCACAAGGAAAAGUACACGAGACGGACAAAAUCGAUCAUUUGAAGUAGUUUCCGUGGACAAAUCCUCAGAGGCACAACUCCACUAAUCCGUUGAGUUCACAGCAAAGUUGAGUACGCCCGUCCCUCGGGGCCUGGACCCUCCGGCAUGGGCAUGGCAUCCGGGUGGGUCCCGGUGGAACAAGGGGAUAAGUAGUUCUCCUUUUCUUUUCUGUGCCUGUGGGUCUAAGAAGACACCACACGUGUCUUGUUUCUUUGUAAUGAGGUGGCGGAAGGGUCUAUCUCGAUCACCACCAUUCCAGGCCCACAAACUGUGACGGGAGCACAGCACAUCCCACCGCCCACCCCAACGGCGGCGGAGGCGGGGGCGCGUGGGGACAAAACCGGUUAUCCGUAUGAAGUGUGACGGUGAUAGGUAGCUCCCAGGACACGUCUUUUUACAGGAAACCCACAGGGACCGCGGAUACGCAGAGAUGACUGAGGCUGAUGUGAAUCCGAAGGCCUACCCCCUGGCAGAUGCCCACCUCCCCAAGAAACUCCUGGACGCGUGUUCAGCAGUCCCGUAACUACAAGCAGCUUCGGAAAGGAGCCCACGAAGCCGCCAAAACCCUCUGUGGAGAGGCAUCUCUGAGUUCAUCCUGAUGGCUGGCUGCAGACGCCGAGCCCCUGGAGAUCAUCCCGCACCGUCCGCCGCCCGCCUGCCUGCCUGCCGCGUGAAGAGAAGAACGUGCCCUACGUGUUCGUGCGCUCCAAGCAGGCCCUCGGGCGGGCCUGCGGGGUGUCCGGGCCUGUCCUCGCCUGUCCCGUCACCAUCCAAGGAGGCUCGCAGCCAAAGCCGCAGAUCCAGUCCAUUCAGCAGUCCAUCGAAAGGCUCUUCGUGGAAACCGCUGGCCUCUGUCCCACCCCUCACGGAGCCCAGCCCUCCCCCCUGGGGUUGUGUCUACCGUCUGCCCUUCCGCCUCCACCUCCGCCUGUUCCUUCAUCUCGGUUUCGUCCUGGAAAACAGGCUUUGUCCGUGGUUGCCUCCCUCUCAGCCCUCUGA